This 800-nucleotide ribosomal RNA is filed under the name uncultured bacterium. RNAcentral describes it as "bacterial SSU rRNA". It matches the Rfam family "Bacterial small subunit ribosomal RNA", at positions 84 to 880 of the family's 1533-position model. The record is from RNAcentral.
CCUGGUGGCGAGCGGCGGACGGGUGAGUAAUGCAUAGAAAUCUGCCCGGUAGUGGGGGAUAACUUGGGGAAACCCAGGCUAAUACCGCAUACGUCCUACGGGAGAAAGCAGGGGAUCUUCGGACCUUGCGCUAUCGGAUGAGUCUAUGUCGGAUUAGCUUGUUGGUAAGGUAAUGGCUCACCAAGGCGACGAUCCGUAGCUGGUCUGAGAGGAUGAUCAGCCACAUCGGGACUGAGACACGGCCCGAACUCCUACGGGAGGCAGCAGUGGGGAAUAUUGGACAAUGGGCGAAAGCCUGAUCCAGCCAUGCCGCGUGUGUGAAGAAGGCCUUCGGGUUGUAAAGCACUUUCAGUGGGGAAGAAAGCCUUGGGGCUAAUACCCUCGAGGAAGGACAUCACCCACAGAAGAAGCACCGGCUAACUCCGUGCCAGCAGCCGCGGUAAUACGGAGGGUGCGAGCGUUAAUCGGAAUUACUGGGCGUAAAGCGCGCGUAGGCGGUCUGAUAAGCCGGUUGUGAAAGCCCCGGGCUCAACCUGGGAACGGCAUCCGGAACUGUCAGGCUAGAGUGCAGGAGAGGAAGGUAGAAUUCCCGGUGUAGCGGUGAAAUGCGUAGAGAUCGGGAGGAAUACCAGUGGCGAAAGCGGCCUUCUGGACUGACACUGACGCUGAGGUGCGAAAGCGUGGGUAGCAAACAGGAUUAGAUACCCUGGUAGUCCACGCCGUAAACGAUGUCGACUAGCCGUUGGGCUCCUUGAGAGCUUUGUGGCGCAGUUAACGCGAUAAGUCGACCGCCUGGGGAG